GAACACCAGGUGAUGGUGCAGAUUGAGCUGUAGACUCACCUAGACAAAUACCCCCUUGGGGUUCACUUCCUACCCAAGAAGCUGGAUGAGGCAGUGGCUGAAGUCCACCUGCACAGGCUAAAUGUGAAGUUGACCAAGCUGACUGAGAAGCAGGCCCAGUACCUGGGCAUGUCCUGUGAUGGCCCCUUCAAACUGGAUGACUACCACUACUGAGAACCAGGCCUGCCCUUCACCUACCAGCUGCUGUCCUUGCCCUGGCCCUGCCUCCCCUAAGAGCAAAUGACACCAACUUUGUGAUUGUUUUCAGUGUCCCCCAUUGACUCCCUGGGGCUGGUCACUUAGGUUUUGGCCUCUACUGCAUCCCUCAUACUGUUGCAAGUGUGGCAGGGGGAAUUGAAAAGCCCCCCCCCCCUCAAGCUCUGGUCAUGAUGAAGGUACAAGGGAGACAUCCACAGGGAACCAUGAGCUCAGUGGUCUUGGAAUUGCUCACUAAGUCAGUCCUUCCUUAGCCUGGAAGUUGGUCAUGGAGUCACAAAGCCCAUGUACUUUACCAUCUAGGCCUUCACCUGGUCUGUGGACUUACACCCGUGUGCUUGGUUUACUGGUUCAGUAGUUCCUCAGACCAUGACAAAUGGAAGGAGCUAUACUGAAGAACAAUGAGGAACUCUUUGAAUUUUCCUGAGCACGUGACUUACUGCUGGGCCUUCCCUUAAACAUCAGAACAAUGAGAUUUGUCCCUAUUUUACAGGGGUUAGAAUAGACUAUUAAGGGACAACUGAGAAAGGACAGAGAAGUGACAGCCAGAGGUUGAGAGGGGCCAUAAAAACAUACAAUCAGACAUAUAUCUGCUACCACUUUGUAGCAAGAUGGUUCCUAUCAUAACUCUGGGUCAAAAAGAUAGUAAUUUGGUUUAUAAUGUUGAAAGAAAGCAGAAAGAGAUGGGGUCUCACUGUCGUUCUGGAGUGUAGUGGUUCAAUCAUCUCUCACUGCAGCCUUGAACCCCUAGGCUCAAAGGAUCCUCCCACCUCAGCCUCCUGAAUAGCUGGGACUAGAGGCAUGAGCCACUAUGUCUUGCUGAUUAAAAAUUGUUUUUGCAAA
This 1098-nucleotide long non-coding RNA is filed under the name Homo sapiens (human). RNAcentral describes it as "non-protein coding lnc-LYPD8-1:12". Lineage: Eukaryota; Metazoa; Chordata; Mammalia; Primates; Hominidae. The record is from RNAcentral.